This 424-nucleotide ribosomal RNA is filed under the name uncultured bacterium. RNAcentral describes it as "bacterial SSU rRNA". It matches the Rfam family "Bacterial small subunit ribosomal RNA", at positions 917 to 1341 of the family's 1533-position model. The record is from RNAcentral.
GGGCCCGCACAAGCGGUGGAGCAUGUGGUUUAAUUCGAUGCAACGCGAAGAACCUUACCUACUCUUGACAUCCAGAGAACUUUUCAGAGAUGAAUUGGUGCCUUCGGGAACUCUGAGACAGGUGCUGCAUGGCUGUCGUCAGCUCGUGUUGUGAAAUGUUGGGUUAAGUCCCGCAACGAGCGCAACCCUUAUCCUUGUUUGCCGGCACUUCGGGUGGGAACUCCAGGGAGACUGCCGGUGAUAAACCGGAGGAAGGUGGGGACGACGUCAAGUCAUCAUGGCCCUUACGAGUAGGGCUACACACGUGCUACAAUGGCGCAUACAGAGGGCGGCCAACUUGCGAAAGUGAGCGAAUCCCAAAAAGUGCGUCGUAGUCCGGAUCGGAGUCUGCAACUCGACUCCGUGAAGUCGGAAUCGCUAGUAA